UUUCAAUGAAAUAAUGAAAUGAAAUGAAAAUUCAAUGAAUUUUUUUUUUUCAUUUCAAUGAAAAACUUCAACAUGUGGUGGGAGCACUGUGUGUGUGUGUGUGUGUGUGUGUGUGUGUGUGUGUGUGCCAUGUCCAACUCCUCGAAAA
This is a non-coding RNA of Podarcis lilfordi (Lilford's wall lizard), 148 nucleotides long. NCBI's taxonomy places the organism in Eukaryota, Metazoa, Chordata, Lepidosauria, Squamata, Lacertidae. The record is from the annotation of a GenBank genome assembly.